UACGUAGGUGGCAAGCGUUGUCCGGAAUUAUUGGGCGUAAAGCGCGCGCAGGCGGUCCUUUAAGUCUGAUGUGAAAGCCCACGGCUCAACCGUGGAGGGUCAUUGGAAACUGGGGGACUUGAGUACAGAAGAGAAGAGUGGAAUUCCACGUGUAGUGGUGAAAUGCGUAGAUAUCGGGAGGAACACCAGUGGCGAAGGCGGCUUUCUGGCCCGUUCUUGACGCUGAGGCGCGAAAGCUAGGGUAGCAAACGGG
RNAcentral lists this ribosomal RNA (253 nucleotides) under uncultured bacterium. RNAcentral describes it as "partial 16S ribosomal RNA". It matches the Rfam family "Bacterial small subunit ribosomal RNA", at positions 524 to 776 of the family's 1533-position model. The record is from RNAcentral.